CCUACGGGAGGCAGCAGUGAGGAAUAUUGGUCAAUGGGCGAGAGCCUGAACCAGCCAAGUCGCGUGAGGGAGUACUGCCCUAUGGGUUGUAAACCUCUUUUGUCGGGGAGCAAAAGCCGGACGUGUCCGGCUGUGAGAGUACCCGAAGAAAAUGCAUCGGCUAACUCCGUGCAAGCAGCCGCGGUAAUACGGAGGAUGCGAGCGUUAUACGGAUGUAGUGGGUUUAAAGGGUGCGCAGGCGGCUUUUUAAGUCAGCGGUCAAAUCUAGGGGCUCAACCCCAUCCAGCCGUUGAAACUGGGGAUCUAGAGUGUGCGAGAGGUAUGCGGAAUGCGUGGUGUAGCGGUGACAUGCAUAGAUAUCACGCAGAACCCCGAUUGCGAAGGCAGCAUACCGGUGCACAACUGACGCUCAGGCACGAAAGCGUGGGUAUCGAACAGGAUUAGAUACCCAGUAGUC
Molecule: ribosomal RNA, 457 nt
Filed under: uncultured bacterium
Lineage: Bacteria
Description: partial 16S ribosomal RNA
Rfam family: Bacterial small subunit ribosomal RNA
Source: RNAcentral